Molecule: long non-coding RNA, 1621 nt
Organism: Leucoraja erinaceus (little skate)
Lineage: Eukaryota; Metazoa; Chordata; Chondrichthyes; Rajiformes; Rajidae
Exons: 4
Source: RefSeq, a predicted model, not a curated record
CUCACUGCGUCAUCACGCCGGCCGACGCUCGCCCCCGCCCCGGGCCUGAGGAUCUCAGUUUAUGGGGCAUGGAUCAUCUGAAAUCAUGGUGGAAAAAUUCCAUCUGGGUCUUGGUGAUUUGCCAUUGAGGAAUCUAGUGCAAAUCUCUAUGGAUGGACCAAAUGGCAACAGGAAGUCUCACCGCCUGUUACAAGCAGAGCAUCUAAACUUCUAUGUAUAAAUAAUAAAAUUCGACAAUGAGUCCACUUAUUGGGAAGCAGGUGGAUUUGGGGUUCUUUACCGAGGAGAAACUGAAAGGGGGCAACAACAUCAAUGUCAGAAGAGCCUUGGAGUUCCGUAUUGCAUGUAGAGACUUUCUAAAACAACAGUUGGAGAGGUGCUUGAGAAAUCGCCCAUCCAGUACUCCUUAGCUCGGACAAUGGUUUGCCUUGACCCCGAGAAGAUGGCAUCAGAAAAUACAGAACAAUUAAGAUGAAAUUCCUCCUGAAGAUCCUGCUGGAAUCAAAGCUAGUGAAUGAGAGUAAUAGCGAGGAUAUCAUUGGGCAGUAUAAGCUAUUCCUUGAACACGAGGCAAAGAGCUCCUCCUUCAAGAACUUUAAUUAUUCCUCACACAGAGUUGACACAUUGCCUCAAGAGACUAUGGGUAAGUCCAGCAUACAGAAAGAUCUGGAAGACAGUUGAGAUGUUACUCCUACUUUCUCAUGGCCAAGCCACUAUCAUCAAGUGGAAACUGACAACCUCUGUGUGGACUCACAUGUUGUACAGCGUAUUAUCCAAAGAUUAUAGAGCAGAGCAAGGUGCGCCACUCUGCGAAAAGAGCAUAGUAUGACAUGGGUAUGACAUGACGCCAUUUUAUUGAGCUGUAAUUUACAAUAUUAAUAAAAUUUACAAUAAUAUUAACUAAAUAUGUGAAGUGAUCGAUGCUCCAUAAAACACUGUUCCCGCUCAGUCCUACCUGAACUCCCGGUGGCUCAGCACUUCAACUCCCCCUCCCAUUCCCAAUCCGACCUCUCUGUCCUGGGUCUCCUCCAUUGCCAGAGUGAGCAACACCGGAAAUUGGAGGAACGGCACCUCAUAUUCCGCCUGGGUUGCUUGCGUUCGGUUGGCAUGAACAUUGAAUUCUCCCAAUUUUGCUAGCACUUGCUGUCCCCUCCCCUUCCUUAACCCUCGAGCUAUCUCCUCCCUUCCCCCCACCCUCGGGCUCCUCCUCCUCCCUUUUUCCUUCCUUCUUCCCCCCCACCCCCCAUCAGUCUGAAGAAGGGUUUCGGCCCGAAACGUCGCCCAUUUCCUUCGCUCGAUAGAUGCUGCUGCACCCGCUGAGUUUCUCCAGCAUUUCUGUGUACCUUCUGUUCCCUAUAACACUGAUUACACCAAAGAUGAUUGAGCGGAUCAAUCUUUGGAAUGGAUUACACCAAAGAUACUAGAGGAGCAUUGCCCGCUGCCUCCCUCGGGAGUGCCGACCGUGGGCAGACGCUUGAGGCUAUCCCGCCAGCCGCCUUCAUCUGGUAUCGGGGAGACCGAGAAUCAGUCCUGGGUCAACUCAGGAGUGGAGGAAACGUCCUCUUCCCCCAAAGAUACUAGAGAAGCCUCUAGUGUCUUUGCUUUUCCCUGCGACCUGAUG